GGAGUUAGCCGGUGCUUCUUCUGCGAGUAACGUCACAGAUGUAAGGUAUUAACUUACACCCUUUCCUCCUCGCUGAAAGUGCUUUACAACCCGAAGGCCUUCUUCACACACGCGGCAUGGCUGCAUCAGGGUUUCCCCCAUUGUGCAAUAUUCCCCACUGCUGCCUCCCGUAGGAGUCUGGGCCGUGUCUCAGUCCCAGUGUGGCUGAUCAUCCUCUCAGACCAGCUAGGGAUCGUCGCCUAGGUGAGCCUUUACCUCACCUACUAGCUAAUCCCACCUGGGCUUAUCCAUCAGCGCAAGGCCCGAAGGUCCCCUGCUUUCCCCCGUAGGGCGUAUGCGGUAUUAGCAGUCGUUUCCAACUGUUAUCCCCCACAAAUGGGCAAAUUCCCAGGCAUUACUCACCCGUCCGCCGCUCGUCAUCUUCAAAAGCAAGCUUUUGAAAUGUUACCGCUCGACUUGCAUGUGUUAGGCCUGCCGCCAGCGUUCAAUCUGAGCCAUAGAUAACAACUCUAGACUAGACGGGCGGCGUGACGACGGCGACAUAG
RNAcentral lists this ribosomal RNA (545 nucleotides) under uncultured bacterium. Its description in RNAcentral is "partial 16S ribosomal RNA". The record is from RNAcentral.